RNAcentral lists this ribosomal RNA (279 nucleotides) under uncultured bacterium. RNAcentral's name for it is "partial 16S ribosomal RNA". It matches the Rfam family "Bacterial small subunit ribosomal RNA", at positions 506 to 784 of the family's 1533-position model. The record is from RNAcentral.
UGCCAGCCGCCGCGGUAAUACGGAGGGAGCUAGCGUUGUUCGGAAUUACUGGGCGUAAAGCGCGCGUAGGCGGCUUUGCAAGUAGAGGGUGAAAUCCCGGGGCUUAACCUCGGAACUGCCCCCUAAACUGCAGAGCUAGAAUCCUGGAGAGGUGAGCGGAAUUCCUAGUGUAGAGGUGAAAUUCGUAGAUAUUAGGAAGAACACCAGUGGCGAAGGCGGCUCACUGGACAGGUAUUGACGCUGAGGUGCGAAAGCGUGGGGAGCGAACAGGAUUAGAUA